AUCCAUUUGUGGUUCAUAAGCGUGAUGACUGAGCUUUCACACACAUUGAGUGAGAUGUGCCUCACUCAAUCCUUGUUAUGAUGUCAGCAUAUUACCCAUCUGACG
Small nucleolar RNA from Chlorocebus sabaeus (green monkey), 105 nucleotides. It matches the Rfam family "Small nucleolar RNA U13". NCBI's taxonomy places the organism in Eukaryota, Metazoa, Chordata, Mammalia, Primates, Cercopithecidae. The record is from Rfam.